Molecule: transfer-messenger RNA, 271 nt
Filed under: Cupriavidus sp.
Lineage: Bacteria; Pseudomonadati; Pseudomonadota; Betaproteobacteria; Burkholderiales; Burkholderiaceae
Description: partial transfer-messenger RNA
Rfam family: transfer-messenger RNA
About the family: Bacterial tmRNA, also known as 10Sa RNA or SsrA, is named for its dual tRNA and mRNA-like properties. Its role is to liberate the mRNA from a stalled ribosome.
Source: RNAcentral
GGGGCCGACCUGGUUUCGACGUGGGUUACAAAGCAGUGGAGGGCAUACCGAGGACCCGUCACCUCGUUAAUCAAUGGGAAUGCAAUAACUGCUAACGACGAACGUUACGCACUGGCAGCCUAAGGGCCGCCGUCCUCGCACUGGCUCGCUGACGGGCUAGGGUCGCAAGACCACGCGAGGUCAUUUACGUCAGAUAAGCUCCGGAAGGGUCACGAAGCCGGGGACGAAAACCUAGUGACUCGCCGUCGUAGAGCGUGUUCGUCCGCGAUGC